This 112-nucleotide microRNA precursor is filed under the name Ovis aries (sheep). Its description in RNAcentral is "miRNA (ENSOARG00000022238.1)". Lineage: Eukaryota; Metazoa; Chordata; Mammalia; Artiodactyla; Bovidae. The record is from RNAcentral.
UUUGUAAUUUUGUAAUUAAUAUUAAGCUGGUGCAAAAGUAAUUGUGGCUUUUGCAUUGUUGAGAUUGCCAUUUAAUAUCUGAGUACAUUUUUAAAUAUGUGGUUAUGUUAUA